UAAAAAGGUAGUUGUAAUCCCUAUUUCAUUCCCUAGAGAGUUAAUUCGUCAUAUGUUCAUCCUAACCUAUGAUGUAUUUUUCUCCCUUUAGUAUUCUAUCUAGUAAAUGGUAGAUAUAAAUCCUACUUCUCCCCUCAGAGUUAAUCCUUGAUAUGUUCGUCCUAACCGAUGACGGAUUUCUUACCUUUGUGGUCUUCUGCCUAGUAACCGGUAGUUGUAAACCUUGUUUCCCCCUGCUGAGUCUAUCCUUGAUGUGUUC
RNAcentral lists this long non-coding RNA (259 nucleotides) under Lathyrus oleraceus (garden pea). RNAcentral describes it as "Pisum sativum (pea) long non-coding RNA (PSAT_LNC031336)". The record is from RNAcentral. Lineage: Eukaryota; Viridiplantae; Streptophyta; Magnoliopsida; Fabales; Fabaceae.